This 212-nucleotide long non-coding RNA is filed under the name Homo sapiens (human). RNAcentral's name for it is "non-protein coding lnc-PDE3B-2:1". The record is from RNAcentral. Lineage: Eukaryota; Metazoa; Chordata; Mammalia; Primates; Hominidae.
CAAAGGCUCCCAGAAGUUCUCCCGCUUGCUGGCUCUCAGUCUUGGUCCUGUGCCAGGCAGGCAGCCUCCAGGCAGCGCCAUUCAGGUGAGACAGCUUAGCAGCCCAGACCCGGCCACACUCAGUGAGGAGGAAGUGCGCCUCCUGCUGGCUGCACUGGUGCAGGACUAUGUGCAGAUGAAGGCCAGUGAGCUGGAGCAGGAGCAGGAGACAG